GAUGAACGCUGGCGGCGUGCUUAACACAUGCAAGUCGAACGGAAAGGCCCAAGCUUGCUUGGGUACUCGAGUGGCGAACGGGUGAGUAACACGUGGGUGAUCUGCCCUGCACUUCGGGAUAAGCCUGGGAAACUGGGUCUAAUACCGGAUAGGACCACAUUCUGGAUGGUGUGGUGGAAAGUUUUUCGGUGUGGGAUGAGCUCGCGGCCUAUCAGCUUGUUGGUGGGGUAAUGGCCUACCAAGGCGUCGACGGGUAGCCGGCCUGGGAGGGUGUACGGCCACAUUGGGACUGAGAUACGGCCCAGACUCCUACGGGAGGCAGCAGUGGGGAAUAUUGCACAAUGGGCGCGAGCCUGAUGCAGCGACGCCGCGUGGGGGAUGACGGCCUUCGGGUUGUAAACUCCUUUCGCUAGGGACGAAGCGUUAUGUGACGGUACCUGGAGAAGAAGCACCGGCUAACUACGUG
Molecule: ribosomal RNA, 466 nt
Filed under: uncultured bacterium
Lineage: Bacteria
Description: partial 16S ribosomal RNA
Rfam family: Bacterial small subunit ribosomal RNA
Source: RNAcentral